AAGGACUUAGUUUAUACAAUAAAACAUUAGUUUGUCAAGCUAAAGAUAUCAUAAGAUAAUUCUUA
Molecule: transfer RNA, 65 nt
Filed under: Coptosoma parvipictum
Lineage: Eukaryota; Metazoa; Arthropoda; Insecta; Hemiptera; Plataspidae
Description: tRNA-Asp
Rfam family: tRNA
About the family: Transfer RNA (tRNA) molecules are approximately 80 nucleotides in length. Their secondary structure includes four short double-helical elements and three loops (D, anti-codon, and T loops).
Source: RNAcentral